AGCUUUGUGCAGUGGCAGUAUUGUGGACAAUGAAGUUUAUCCGAAGCACAAUUAUUGCUAAUUGGAUAUUAACUCCUAUAUAACAUAUGGUUUGUAAGUAUUUUCUCCUAUUCAGUAG
This 118-nucleotide small nuclear RNA is filed under the name Catagonus wagneri (Chacoan peccary). RNAcentral describes it as "U4 spliceosomal RNA (ENSCWAG00000005263.1)". It matches the Rfam family "U4 spliceosomal RNA". Rfam says of the family: U4 small nuclear RNA (U4 snRNA) is a component of the major U2-dependent spliceosome. The structure of U4 snRNA from yeast and human has been reported. Lineage: Eukaryota; Metazoa; Chordata; Mammalia; Artiodactyla; Tayassuidae. The record is from RNAcentral.